This 201-nucleotide unclassified non-coding RNA is filed under the name plant metagenome. RNAcentral's name for it is "partial contains small subunit ribosomal RNA, internal transcribed spacer 1, and 5.8S ribosomal RNA". The record is from RNAcentral.
UUUCCGUAGGUGAACCUGCGGAAGGAUCAUUACUGAGUUUAUAACUCCCAAACCCUAUGUGAACUUACCACUUGUUGCUUCGGCGCGCGCUUCGGUGCCGCCGAGGACACUUAAACUCUUUGUUUUUAUAAGCAUUUCUGAGUGGCCGAAAGGCAAAAUACAAAUGAAUCAAAACUUUCAACAACGGAUCUCUUGGUUCUG